Benincasa hispida (wax gourd) is the source of this 3199-nucleotide non-coding RNA. Lineage: Eukaryota; Viridiplantae; Streptophyta; Magnoliopsida; Cucurbitales; Cucurbitaceae. The record is from RefSeq and is a predicted model, not a curated record.
UCAAUAAAGUUUUAGAUCAUCAUUGUAUCUUGAAUUGUUAAGAAGAGCAUUUUAUCAAAUUCCUUGUGUAAAACCCUUGUAUUUACACUUCCUUUUAUGUGUUCAAUUUCAUUCCCGAAAAAAACAAAUUGUAUUGUGCUUUCCCUUAGUUUGUUCUUUUCAUUGUUUUCUUGUUCUUUUUAUGGUUAUUUUCAUAAUUAUCUUGUCUUGCUUAUAUCGAAUAGCUCUCUAUUUCAAGAAUUGUUUGUUGAAGCCUACCUAAUAUCAUAAUUCAGCCACCUUCCCAAAUAGCUUACCUUUUUGUGUACAAACACGAGUGUUCCCAAGUGAAAAAAAAAUAGUGAAUUGCUUUUAAAUAUUACUAUGAGUCAAGGAGAGGGAGAUCAUGUGGAGAUUAUUGAAGCUCGGUAUAAAGAAGCACAAGUUGGUGUUACAACUCGAUUGACCCAAGUAGUUGAAUCCUUGAUGGAUCAGGUAACUAGGAUGGAAAGAGCUUUGAGGAAUCCUCAACAAAGAGAGGGUUACAAUGAAGGAGUUGAAAAUAAAGAAGAUGAUGAUAAUGAAACUCUUUUAGUUGGGCAAAACCCAAGGGUAAUGAUAGUGUUAGGCCAAGGUAGAGGAAGAUGAAGGAGAAGGGAAAGAAAGGGAGUACCUAAAUGAGAGAGGAGAGGAAAGAGGAAUCGGAGGAGUGAAGCUUACAAUUACUACCUUUCAUGGGACUACGAAUCCAGAGGAGUAUUUGUAAUAUUAGAGUAAAAUCGAGCUUGUUUUUUAUUGCCACAAUUUUAGCGAGAAAAGGAAAAUGAAGCUUGUUGUAGCUGAAUUUGUUGAUUAUGCAAGUGUAUAGUGGACAUCCUUGAAACUCGAAUGGAGAAAGAAUUACGAAGAGCCAAUUGAAACAUGAGUUAAAGGCCCUAAUGAGAAAAAAAGUACAUUCCUAAGCACUACAUUAGAGAACUCAAGCAAAAGCUUUAUUCUUUGUAGCAAGCAUCCAAAUGUGUGGAUGAUUAUUAUAAGGAAAUGAAAACCCUUAUGAAUAGAGCAAGCAUUAAUAAAGAUGAGAAGGAUACAAUGACUAGAUUUCUUGGAGGAAUGAAUCGAGAAUUAGCCAAUCAAGUGACAGGAAAAUUUACUUCGACAUGAAAGAAUUGUUACACCUUGCUGUCAAAAUUGAAUGGCAAUUAGCUUGGGAGAAGUUACACAACAAGAUGUAUGCUUCUUCUAAAUCUACUUCUAUUUCUACUAACACUUGGCAAAAGAAUGAAAAUACUGGAAAAGUUGAUUUCAAGCCUGGGAAAAAUUUGAGUUUGACAAGAAGGAUAAGGCUGAGAGCUCCAAGGGCAAGGAAAAGUUGGAGGGAUUCAAGGAGGUUCGAGAAAAAAAUAGAGAUAUCAAAUGUUGAAAAUGUCAAGGAGUUGGUCAUAUUAGUCAUGGUUGUCCAAACAAGCUAACCAUGAUCAUAAAAAAUGGAGAAGUUGUCCUCGAUAAAGAAGAAAGUGACCAAGAUGAGCUAAUUAAAGAAAAAGUUGAAGAGAGUGAGGGCGAACUAGAAGAUGGGAGUAGAUUGACACUUGUUACAAGGAGACUUCUUAGCACUCAAGUUAAGGAGAAUGAUAUCAAAGACCAAAGAGAUAAUUUUUUCUACACUAGGUGUUUAGUUAAUGGGACUCCUUGUGGUUUUGUUAUCCACAAUGGAAGUUGCACCAAUGUCGUAAGUAUAUUUAUGGUCAAACAAUUGUAAAUUCCGACUCAACACUAUCCUAAGCCUUACAAGCUUCAAUGGCUCAAUGAUAGUAGAACACUGAGGGUAGUUUCUCAAGUUUUAAUUUCUUUUACCUUGGGAAAGUAUAAAGAUGAAGUUCUUUGUGAUGUGUUACCUAUGCAUGCUGGAGAUAUAUUACUUGGUCGGCCUUGGCAAUUUGAUAAGAAAGUCUUGUAUGAUGGAUACUUGAAUAGGUAUUCUUUUACAAAAGAUGGGAGAAAAACAACUCUUGUAUCUUUGUAUUCUAAAGAUGUAUUUUCUGAUCAAUUGAAGUUAGAGAAAAAAAAGAAAAGAGUUUGAAGAAAAAGAGUUGAGAGAAAAAAAGAGGUGAGUGAAAAAUUCGAAAAAAAUCGAUGAGAAAAAAAGAGUGGAGAGAAGAAAACUGAAAAAAAUAAUGAAAUUGAAAGAAAAGAAAGUGAGUUGUUUGGAAAAAGUGGGAGAAGUGAGAAGGGCAAUAUUUUUCCAAAAAUCAAUUUUUGUACUUAUGUACAAGGAAGGAUAUUUAGCCUCUAAUGUUAACAAGUUGUCUUUGCCUAGUGUUUUUCAAUCUCUUUUGCAGGAAUUUGAAGAUGUGUUUCAAGAUGAAGCUCCUAAAGGACUACCACCUACUAGAGGUAUUGAGCAUAAAAUGGAUUUCAUUUCUGGGGUUAUCAUUCAAAAUAGGCCAGCCUAUAGAGCAAAUCCGACUGAGACAAAGGAAAUUCAGAGGCAAGUGGAGGAGCUCAUGGAGAAAGGCUAUGUUCAAGAAAGCUUGAGCCCAUGUUCUGUACCGGUCUUAUUGGUGCCAAAGAAGGAUGGGACUUGGUGCAUGUGUGUGGAUUGUAAAGCCAUCAACAAAAUCACUGUAUGGUGACACUACUUAUGGCCAAGAGUGUUUGUGAUCCAUACUGAUCAUGAAAGCUUGAAGCAUCUUAACGGUCAAAGAAAAUUGAAUCAUAGGCAUGCAAAGUGGGUUAAAUUUAUUGAAACAUUUCCCUAUGUGAUCAAAUAUAAGCAAGGUGAUGAAUUUCCUGAUUCGAGGACAAAUCCUUUUGAAGAGGGGAAGAUGAUAAGAACCAAGGUACUCCUCAUGUUCCGGUUAGACCAAUUACAAGAUCCAAGGCAGCAAAGAUUCAACAAUCAUUUAUUUUUCAUGUACAAGAUUGGACAGGGUCAGUUCAUCCUCUAUUUUAUGUGAAAAAUGUUGAUCCCAUAGACGACGGACCAUUUGGAGUAUUGAAGGUCAAUGUUUGCUCUGUUGAAGUGGAACAUGGAGUAGACAUUAAGUUUCUAUGACUUCAAGCACUUUGAAGAAUUUUUAUAUUUAAGAUCAAGACAAUUUAUUGUAAUUUCAGCUUUAAUUUUAUUUCUAUGACUAGUCAAAAAUGGAGGUUGUCACUAAUGAUGUUACAUUAAAAAUGAUGGAUGGAAGAUAGUGUUUGGAAGAUGAAAAACUCU